AUGGCCAGUUCCUCAUUCCAAUUGAGUUUAUAUUGUGUAGGUUUCUUCGUCGUGAUCUGGAUUGCCGCAGUCAUGUUCAAGUCCAAUGAUAUCUUGCGCAAGCAGACCUCUCUCAAGGCCACCGCUGUGGUAGUGCCCAUGUCUCUUCUCCAGUCAGUCACAUCGUGCUAUGAUGCACACAUCCUCAAGUCUGGGAAGCAACCCUGCUCACUCUUACAUAAUGCCAAUUCGUGUCAAGAGCCCUUCGCUGGCAACUCACUGGAUGUAGAAACCCAAGUGGACGCAGCCGUUGAGCCCUAA
Molecule: ribosomal RNA, 300 nt
Filed under: Triticum aestivum (bread wheat)
Lineage: Eukaryota; Viridiplantae; Streptophyta; Magnoliopsida; Poales; Poaceae
Description: partial small subunit ribosomal RNA
Source: RNAcentral